Molecule: ribosomal RNA, 460 nt
Filed under: uncultured bacterium
Lineage: Bacteria
Description: partial 16S ribosomal RNA
Rfam family: Bacterial small subunit ribosomal RNA
Source: RNAcentral
CCUACGGGGGGCAGCAGUGAGGAAUAUUGGUCAAUGGACGAGAGUCUGAACCAGCCAAGUAGCGUGAAGGAUGACUGCCCUAUGGGUUGUAAACUUCUUUUAUAUGGGAAUAAAAUGUUCCACGUGUGGGAUUUUGUAUGUACCAUAUGAAUAAGGAUCGGCUAACUCCGUGCCAGCAGCCGCGGUAAUACGGAGGAUCCGAGCGUUAUCCGGAUUUAUUGGGUUUAAAGGGAGCGUAGGUGGAUUGUUAAGUCAGUUGUGAAAGUUUGCGGCUCAACCGUAAAAUUGCAGUUGAAACUGGCAGUCUUGAGUACAGUAGAGGUGGGCGGAAUUCGUGGUGUAGCGGUGAAAUGCUUAGAUAUCACGAAGAAAUCCGAUUGCGAAGGCAGUUCACUGGACUGCAACUGACACUGAGGCUCGAAAGUGUGGGUAUCAAACAGGAUUAGAUACCCUAGUAGUC